This 23-nucleotide small nuclear RNA is filed under the name Arabidopsis thaliana (thale cress). RNAcentral's name for it is "snRNA_15026". The record is from RNAcentral. Lineage: Eukaryota; Viridiplantae; Streptophyta; Magnoliopsida; Brassicales; Brassicaceae.
AGCGAAGCGGAUAACUGCGGGUA